Jaculus jaculus (lesser Egyptian jerboa) is the source of this 107-nucleotide small nuclear RNA. The record is from RefSeq and is a predicted model, not a curated record. NCBI's taxonomy places the organism in Eukaryota, Metazoa, Chordata, Mammalia, Rodentia, Dipodidae.
GUGCUUGCUUUGGCAGCACAAAUACUAAAAUUGGAACAAUACAGAGAAGAUUAUCAUGGCCGCUGCACAAGGAUGACAUGCAAAUUCGUGGAGCAUUCCGUAUUUUA